UACGUAGGGGGCAAGCGUUAUCCGGAUUUACUGGGUGUAAAGGGAGCGUAGACGGUGCGCCAAGUCUGGAGUGAAAUGCCGCAGCUUAACUGCGGAACUGCUUUGGAAACUGGCGCGCUCGAGUGCGGGAGGGGUAAGCGGAAUUCCUAGUGUAGCGGUGAAAUGCGUAGAUAUUAGGAGGAACACCGGUGGCGAAGGCGGCUUACUGGACCGUAACUGACGUUGAGGCUCGAAAGCGUGGGGAGCAAACA
RNAcentral lists this ribosomal RNA (251 nucleotides) under uncultured bacterium. Its description in RNAcentral is "partial 16S ribosomal RNA". It matches the Rfam family "Bacterial small subunit ribosomal RNA", at positions 524 to 774 of the family's 1533-position model. The record is from RNAcentral.